GACAACAGUUCGCGGCAACGCAUACUAUUUUUCUCCGCCAAUCUUAUACCGUUGGUAGGGAUCUCUUUCCUACAUGACAGUACUAAUACCCAGGGAAACUGGUCAUCAGGCGAACUGCGGCGUUCUGCUGGCAAACAUAGCUUCGGUUAUGUCAAUGGCUAUUGGAUUGGUCCAUGAAGCAAAAAUAGUUUACUGUGUCACUCGUACCGAUAACCGCAUCAGGUCUUCUAGGUAAGUAGCCUAUGGCCAUUGAGGGCAUGAUAGUUCAGGGAAUUCGGCCAAUUAGAGCUGUAACUUCGGGAUAAAGCUUGGCUCUGAUGAAAAUCAGAACCGAUUGUUACGCGGAGAGCCCAACUGUUUAAUAAAAACGUAGUGUCGCGCUGUGGUAGUAUAGCCAGUGAACGCGACAUGAAUCCUGCUCAGUGCUGUGUCUGUUAAUAUGGUUCAAGCCAACGAAGCACCGGUAAAUAGCUGGGGUAACUAUGACUCUUAUCAAAGUAGCGAAAUACCUCGUCACUUAAUUAGUGACCUGCAUGAACGGAGCUAUGAGGUUCUCACUGUCCCAAACUGUCUCUCAGCGAACCAACUGUAGUGGGAACGGUCACUAGAUAUCCAGCGGGAAAGAAGACCCUGUAGAGCUUCACUUUGGUCUAGUCUUGUAUAGUUCCUGCGGGGGUGUAGACUAGGUGGGAGAGCAAUCGAUUCUGAAAAACCACUACCCUGUUUGGAAUUAUGCUUACCUAUCACAAGGAAUAGGACUAGAUAGAAAGUUUGGCUGGGGCGGCACACCUUCGAAAGAGCAGCGAAGGUGUCCUAAGUUGAGCUCAGUGAGGACAGAAAUCUCACGUUGAGGAUAAGGCCAAAAGCUCAAUUUACUGUGCCUUUUUGUACUAGGAUCAGUUACGAAAGUAAGGCCUAACGAUCCCUAAAUAGCCUCAGGUGCGUGAGGAUUGGGGUGACAGACAAGUUACCUCCGGGACAACUGGCUUGUGGCUGCUAAGAGAUCAAAUCAACGCAGUUUUUGAUUCUUCGAUGUCGGCUCUUCCUAUCCUAGUGAUGUACAAGUUGCUAAGGGUCGGAUUGUUCACCGUAUUAGGGAUCGUGAGCUGGGUUUAGACCGUCGUGAGCCAGGUUUGUUUUAUCCUACUGGAUAUAGCAUCAUGAUAGUAGAUUGAUUUAGUACGAGAGGAACUGUUGAUUAUGGCCUCUGGUUAGCGAUUAUCGGAAACGGUAUGUCGCGCAGCUACGCCGUCUGGAUAAUGGCUGAAAGCCUCUUAAGCCAGAAGCCCAUCUAGAAAGUGAUGCACGUGAUGUUGGACCGAUACGAAUAAUCAUACUCAAAAGGUCCGCUUCAUAGGUAACCCAAUGUAGAAGACAUUGU
Molecule: ribosomal RNA, 1381 nt
Filed under: Trichomonas vaginalis
Lineage: Eukaryota; Parabasalia; Trichomonadida; Trichomonadidae
Description: eukaryotic LSU rRNA
Rfam family: Eukaryotic large subunit ribosomal RNA
Source: RNAcentral